This 460-nucleotide ribosomal RNA is filed under the name uncultured bacterium. RNAcentral's name for it is "partial 16S ribosomal RNA". It matches the Rfam family "Bacterial small subunit ribosomal RNA", at positions 338 to 795 of the family's 1533-position model. The record is from RNAcentral.
CCUACGGGGGGCAGCAGUGAGGAAUAUUGGUCAAUGGGCGCGAGCCUGAACCAGCCAAGUCGCGUGAGGGAGGACGGCCCUACGGGUUGUAAACCUCUUUUGCCGGGGAGCAACGGGCGUCACGUGUGGCGCCACUGAGAGUACCCGGAGAAAAAGCAUCGGCUAACUCCGUGCCAGCAGCCUCGGUAAUACGGAGGAUGCGAGCGUUAUCCGGAUUGAUUGGGUUAACGGGGUGCGUAGGCGGAUCGUUAAGUCAGUGGUCAAAUUGAGGGGCUCAACCCCUUCCCGCCAUUGAAACUGGCGCUCUUGAGUGGAAGAGAAGUAUGCGGAAUGCGUGGUGUAGCGGUGAAAUGCAUAGAGAUCACGCAGAACCCCGAUGGCGAAGGCAGCAUGCCGGCUUCCGACUGACGCUGAAGCACGAAAGCGUGGGGAUCGAACAGGAUUAGAUACCCUUGUAGUC